Molecule: ribosomal RNA, 469 nt
Filed under: uncultured bacterium
Lineage: Bacteria
Description: partial 16S ribosomal RNA
Rfam family: Bacterial small subunit ribosomal RNA
Source: RNAcentral
GAUGAACGCUGGCGGCGCGCCUAACACAUGCAAGUCGAACGGCUACAGCACCAGUUAGGGGUGUAAAAAGUGGCGAACGGCUGACUAACACGUAGGCAACCUGCCCUCCCCUUUUGGUUAGCCUCAGCGAACCGAGGCUAAUACUCGAAACUUAAACGACGCCCCAUUACGACAUUGAGAAAGCCUUUGCGGAGAAGGAUGAGUGCGCGGCCUGCUAGCUUGUUGGUGGGGUAGAGGCCUACCCAGGCAAUGAUGGGUAGCUGGGUUGAGUGACCGACCAGCCGGAUUGGGACUGAGACACGGCCCAGACUCCGACGGGAGGCAGCAGUGGGGAAUCUUGCACAAUGGGCGAAGGGCUGAUGCAGCGACGCCGCGUGCGGGACGAAGGCCUUCGUGUUGAAAAACGCUUUCAGCAGGGACGAGGCGAUAAGUGACGGUACCUGCAGAAGAAGCCCCGGCUAACUACGUG